GUCGUUUUUCUUCCAUCUUUGCCAGAGCAGCGUCCGCGGAGAGUUGCGCCUGGCAGCGGGGGGCGGCGGGGAGGGGCGGGGCGGGUGGGAUGGGGACGGGGACGGGAUGGGGAUGCGCAGAGCCCCUCACGCCGCUGUCAUCGCCGCCGUCCCGGCCCUGCUCAGGGGCGGCCGCCCGGGAACUCCAUGGCUGCUCCCAGCCGAGAUGGCCGCUCGCAGCGCGGCCCGCCGAGCCCUGCCCGCCCGCCGCGGGUGCUCUCUGUUGGGUUUUUUUUCACCCCGCACUUCCUCAGGAUCUCCUCGCCCCGCCGCUCGGGCUCCGGGAGGAGGGAGGCGGAGAAGCCACUUUCGGAGCGGGGCCGGAUAAUGGUGCUGCCGCUCCCCCCCCCCCCCAACCCCCCACCCUCCCCUCCCUCCCGCCCCAAAUCUUCCCCCUUAAUUUCUUCUCCC
RNAcentral lists this long non-coding RNA (450 nucleotides) under Gallus gallus (chicken). Lineage: Eukaryota; Metazoa; Chordata; Aves; Galliformes; Phasianidae. The record is from RNAcentral.